GUUUUCCGCGCCUUCCGUUUUUCGAUCCGAUAGCGAACGCGUGCACUUUUCUCCUGGUAGGACGUCGCGAUCCGUUGGGUGUCGGUCUACGGCUCGCAGUGGAGCCCGGACACACGGCUUGCCGUCGCGUCCGGACCUGCGUGUCCCGGCUGACUCGCUCGACGGUAUAAGAAAGGUUUAAGGCCGCUCUUGGAGCGUUCGGCUCGUCGCAAGCGCGCCAGAUGUGUCGGCGAUCGGACCUAGUGCCGGUUCUGACCUCUGGUGACUGUUGGCGGCGAAGUUCUCGAACAGACCUUUGACCGAUCUGCGACGCUAUAGCUUUG
This 323-nucleotide ribosomal RNA is filed under the name Listronotus bonariensis (Argentine stem weevil). RNAcentral describes it as "partial 28S ribosomal RNA". Lineage: Eukaryota; Metazoa; Arthropoda; Insecta; Coleoptera; Curculionidae. The record is from RNAcentral.